GUUUCCUAAGGGAAGUAAUGUCCCGCGCAGAGUGCGCAGUAGUACUCGGACUCCCCCAUUUUCUCUCAAGCUCUCUCACUCUACUCUCUCACUCUCUCCGGCAGUACUGCGGCUUCUCUCCACCACGAGCACCGCCGGCCAACCCACGACCACGCCGACCAAGAUCUCUACGAUCUAAGAAAAGUGCAACUGAGUGUGGGGGAUCACUUUCAGAGAAUUUUUAAUGACCACGAAAAGAUUAAGCUUGAGAUGCGUGGGAUGGAAUUGGAAAAGCGUGAUGCGCAGAGUGAAUGUGAAAGAAGAAUGCUCGCUGAAGAGAUUGAAAAGAAAUAAUGGAAGAAGGAAGAAAAAGCCAGAAAAGAAGAAGAAGAAGAAAACAAGAGGGGAUCGCUGGCGCUCGGGACGGCCGGAGAGAUCUGCUAGGGCCGGGUUCGAUUGGGCUACGACAGGGAAGCUCAGGUUUCGGCCUCUCCUCCCACGGGACGCUUGGGUUUCGGUCGGACGCGUAGUUUCCGGCCUAUCCUCCCACGGCCGGUGUGUGUGGUUUUAUUUUUUAUUUUUAUUUUUUCUGCUUUUUUCUUCGCCCGUGCCUUCUUUUCUUAAAAAAAGAAAAAAAGAAAAAGAAAAUGUGAUGUAGAUGUUGCCACAUCAGUGUAUAAAAAGUGGGUGUAAGUGUAGCAACCCUUAUAUUCUAAAUAUGCCUUGGACAAAGUGAUUUAUUGCCCGCCCUCUUCAUAUUACUGUUUUCAAAUAAAGCCAUGACUUUGUUAAAUAACACUUUUUUCAUUUUUUUUUUAAAAAAAUAAUACCAAACAACCCAACACAAAAUAUUCAAAAACUAAUUUCAUCUUUGUGCCACAUUAAAAUAAUUUUCAAAAAUAAAAAAUACCUUCCAAAAAUUAUUAACAAAUCGAACCCUUUUUGUUCU
Molecule: RNA transcript, 928 nt
Organism: Alnus glutinosa
Lineage: Eukaryota; Viridiplantae; Streptophyta; Magnoliopsida; Fagales; Betulaceae
Gene name: protein INVOLVED IN DE NOVO 2-like
Exons: 3
Source: RefSeq, a predicted model, not a curated record